GAAAGUAUCUGAGGCGUGAUAGAGGCUGGCACUAGAGAAAAAGUGCCAGACUGAAGAGUAUAUGAAAUUGAUCACCUCAAUGGGGGAGGGGCCCCAGGAGUGAAAUCCAGAAGAGAGAAGACUCUGGCUGGAGAGCAGUGAGGGUCUCUCAGUCUUGAGACAUCCAAGAGAGAAGGUGGAUAAAGACUUUCUCCUGAGGGUUACCCAUUUUCCUGCUGGUGACUGGAAAUUCUUCCCUCCAACACUUCCCAAUUUAAGGGACUUUCUGAAGAGAAACUGAGCAGAUUUUACCUCAGCUCCUGUUGCCCAGGGCUCAUUUUACCACUGAGGAAACUGAGGCAAACAGAGUUGAGUGACGUUUCUGGCCAGGAAGUAUCUGAGACUGUGCCCAUGAGUUGCUCUUCAGCCUGCAACACUCCCAGGUUCAAGUAGAUGAGAGAACUGAAGCAAAUGAGGUUAAGUGACUUGCCCUGGGGCACACAGAUAAUAAGUGUCUGAGGCCAGAUUUGAACUGCAGGCUUGACACUCUAUCCAUUGUACCAGAUGAGGAAAAUUCAAGGAAGUUAAGCGACUUGCCUGAUGUCACCCAAGUAAUAAGCAUUGGAAGUAAUCAAUGUCCAGAGAAAGCACACCACAGCUGGUGUUCUUUUCCAGUAUUAUUUCCUGGUCUAUAAAGUCAGAGACUUAGAGUAGUUUCCAAGGGGCUAUGCAGCUAUAGAUGUCAUAAGUAUGAUUCCAUUUUGUUUCUGUACAACUUUCUAGAGAAUCACUUGCUAAAUAAAGUAAUCAAACUGCAU
Molecule: long non-coding RNA, 797 nt
Filed under: Monodelphis domestica (gray short-tailed opossum)
Lineage: Eukaryota; Metazoa; Chordata; Mammalia; Didelphimorphia; Didelphidae
Description: lncRNA (ENSMODG00000034140.2)
Source: RNAcentral